CCAAAUCUACAUCAUAUUUGUUGGCAGAACCAUUGAACGACCAUGCCAAAUCUACAUCACAUCUUUAUAAGGCUAAACGCUCAAACCCAACAUUUGCUCGAGCAAGCCAGAUCCUACCAAAAUCAUUUCAACCCAUGUGUAGUUAUCCAUCCAAAAUUGAUAUAGAUAUAAUUGCUUAGAAAAAAAUAAAGAUAGUUAAAACCAUCAUCCAAUAAAUUUCGAAAGGCAUUUCAUCAAACGGUGGCAUGGCAUCUAGCAGAAAAGACUAUAUACACAAACUGAGCCUAUGCUCUCCACCAGGGAUUGUAAUACAAGCAUUCAUUUAGAUGUCCACCGUCCCCAAUAACCUUUAGAUGAGAAUUGAACAUCUAACAUAUUCUAAGGCAUUUCAUCAAACAGUGGCACGACAUUAAGCAGAAAAAAAAUUAUUCAGGCAAGCGAGCAAGACCGAUCUGACAAUAAUCCCAUGAAUCCUCGAUAUCAUGGCCUCACCACACGCCAGCGACGAACACCAACGAGAAGAUGACACAUCCUCCACGACCAUCGAUGAGCACCAAUGUCCACUUGCUAUGAUCUAGUGCCUCUUCUUCAAUGCUUCUCUGCGAUAGGAGAUGGAGAUUGAGAACGAGGGAGGUGUGGGAUCGAAAAUGAGGAAGAAAUCAAUAUUCAAAAUGCCCCCAACAUUCUGAAAUUUUACCGCCCAAUCCACUUCCUGCUAAUUUGCCUUUAGAUGUUGAAAAAAUUACUCGUGAC
This 753-nucleotide long non-coding RNA is filed under the name Elaeis guineensis (African oil palm). RNAcentral's name for it is "long non-coding RNA (EGUI_LNC041290)". Lineage: Eukaryota; Viridiplantae; Streptophyta; Magnoliopsida; Arecales; Arecaceae. The record is from RNAcentral.